UGCGAUAUGUUAGCGUACCUUUAGCAAGUGACUGUAGAAAGGUCAUUGAGGUUUAAAAAUUGAUUUAAUAACCUAAUUUGUAACUCCAGAGGAAGGGUCAGCCAGCGAGGAGAUGUGGUGUGACCUUGUCUUGGAUGUGCUGCUUUUGAGGGAAACGUUCGCAGAGGGACGGAGUAGCCGAGAAGAAGUGAUAACCAUCCGUGGAAUCUUGGCAGCGUCCGGAUUCGCCUCAGUGCCGUGAAAUCUUCGUUCGGCGGGACUGCCCUUUGUGGUCAACUCUGAGAUCUCGGAUGGUCAACCAUGAAGUUCAGCUCCAGGACAGCCCUCUGCCUCGCUGCGGCAGUAUUGUCAAUUUCCCGACUGCGAGAAGACCUACAACCCACAUAACUUAUUUUGUCCAACAGCAACAUCUUUUGAGAGAGUGCACGACUGAACCAUAUUUAACCUUUUGGUGUCAGACCACCCGCCAGUGGCUGGGCCUCUGGCGUCCCAUUCACCGUCGCAGCGGCACCAACAAGCUGGCCGAAUGUGAUAUAGAGCUGGACCGGAGGAACCGGGCGCUUUAUUCCCCACGAAACCCAAACAUCUCUGGAAGAGUUGUUGUUGACCGCGUCACAAAGUCUCCGUGGGCAACAAAUGCCCGGGCAGCAUAAAUUACCUUCAGUUUGAGGUAGGGAGUUUUAUGUGGAGAACAUUCACAGUCUUCUCUUCCCAUAAUUGGAAAAAAAAAAAAAAAAAAAGAUAAACUUUUACCCAAGUUGCGUCACACUCAAGAGGCUGCAGGAACCACAGCAGGAUUUCUGUCAUGUUUGAUGGUCUUCCAUCUGAAAGCUGCAGCAUCACAAAAAUCUUACUAUUACACCUAAGCGAAAAGCCACUCUGUGGGAUGUCCUGUGGUGGCCCAGGGGUUCUCGACACGGCCGUCGCAGGUUCGAUUCCCGGCCUGGUGACCUUUGCUGCAGCGCAGGUCUUCCCCUUCUCUUGUUACCCACUUUCCUGUC
Molecule: long non-coding RNA, 1001 nt
Organism: Poeciliopsis prolifica (blackstripe livebearer)
Lineage: Eukaryota; Metazoa; Chordata; Actinopteri; Cyprinodontiformes; Poeciliidae
Exons: 4
Source: RefSeq, a predicted model, not a curated record